AUUGAACGCUGGCGGCAGGCCUAACACAUGCAAGUCGAGCGAGCGGCGGACGGGUGAGUAAGGGCUGGGAAACUGCCUGAUGGAGGGGGAUAACUACUGGAAACGGUAGCUAAUACCGCAUACCAUCAGAUGUGCCCAGAUGGGAUUAGCUAGUGGGUGGGGGAACGGCUAACCUAGGCGACGAUGCCUAGCUGGUCUGAGAGGAUGAACAGCCACACUGGAACUGAGACACGGUCAAGACUCCUACGGGAGGCGGCAGGGGGGAAUAUUGCACAAUGGGCGCAAGCCUGAUGCAGCCAGGCCGCGUGAGUGAAGAAGGCCUUCGGGUUGUAAAGCACUUUCAGCGGGGAGGCGUUACCCGCAGAAGAAGCCCCGGCUAACUCCGUGCCAGCAGCCGCGGUAAUAC
This 406-nucleotide ribosomal RNA is filed under the name uncultured bacterium. RNAcentral's name for it is "partial 16S ribosomal RNA". It matches the Rfam family "Bacterial small subunit ribosomal RNA", at positions 29 to 526 of the family's 1533-position model. The record is from RNAcentral.